Long non-coding RNA from Pocillopora damicornis (cauliflower coral), 258 nucleotides. NCBI's taxonomy places the organism in Eukaryota, Metazoa, Cnidaria, Anthozoa, Scleractinia, Pocilloporidae. The record is from RefSeq and is a predicted model, not a curated record.
GCAAAAAUGGGAACCAGUAGAAUUGGACGAUCCUUCGUUCUUUGCGGGAGAAAUGGAUGGAUUUGUGUCCCUUGAAGUCAUGGAAGAUUAUUACCCAGUAGAGCUAGCAGGAAUUGGUGCAGGUGGACCAGCUCAGAAGAAGAAAAUGAAAGAACGGCCGCUGCAGGAGGAUAAUCUGGAACAAAAAGUUACCACACCAUCCUGACAACUUGAAAAAGCACAAAGAAUGACCAACAGACAAAGGGAAAAAAGAAGAGG